AAUUUUCUAUUAAAUCUGAUAGAAAAAUUAUUAAAUUAAAAAUAAUUAUGGAAGAUAAAUCUUACUUAUCCAGUUAGCAAAAUUAAAAACUAAAGAAAUUUAAGUUUAGUUUAUAUUUUUACUUUGGUAAAAUAGGUGCCAGCAACCGCGGUCAUACCUAUAAAAAAUAAUUUUACCUAGGGCUUACUAAAAAGACAUUUGCUAAAUAGAUAAGUGAAAUUUUUAGUAGUAACACAAUUUAACCCUUUUAAACAAUUAAAAUUUUAAGUAACACUUGAUAAUAAACCAGGAUUAGAUACCCUGUUAUACAAGAAGUAUAAGACAGCCCUGAGUAGUAAGUAAAUAAAGAUUAUGAAACUCAAAGAUUAUGGCGGCCUUUAAAAAUCUUCAGAGGAACUUACCAAGUAAUUGAUAAUCACCAAGCUAUCUCGCAUAAUUUUUAAAUAGUUUGUAUGCCGUCGUUAUAAAAAUUUUUUUAAAAAAAAUUUAAAAGAAUAAUCUUUUAAUAUAUCAGAUCAAGGUGCAGCUAAUAAUUAUGAUUUAUAGGCGAGUUACAAAAAAGAUUUUUGUUAGUAAGAAAGUUUAUAUACUUUUUUUAAAUAGGAUUUGAUUGUAAAAGUUUAAAUUAAAAAUAACUUUUGAACAUUUUAUUUAAAGGUGCACAAAUCGCCCGUCAUUCUCGUUGGAAAAUGAGACAAGUCGUAACAAAGUAGAAGUAGCGGAAGCUGUUUCUAAUAAUGAACAAUUAUU
This 750-nucleotide non-coding RNA is filed under the name Pupilla muscorum. Lineage: Eukaryota; Metazoa; Mollusca; Gastropoda; Stylommatophora; Pupillidae. The record is from RNAcentral.